GCUUGUUUACAGCCUAAACUUUCCUGAAAACGAGGAAAGUGCGGGGGACCCGGACUCCACGGUUUCAUAUCGGGGACGGGGCGAAUGAUAUCUGGCAACAGAAUAUCAGGACUACUUCUAAAGUCCAGCCCGACAGCUAACUUCGCAGGCAUUUAGAAGAGUGAGC
Molecule: small RNA, 166 nt
Filed under: Lentisphaerota bacterium
Lineage: Bacteria; Pseudomonadati; Lentisphaerota
Description: Lentisphaerae bacterium c-di-AMP sequence
Rfam family: c-di-AMP riboswitch aptamer (ydaO/yuaA leader)
About the family: This family represents a conserved RNA structure found upstream of the ydaO and yuaA genes in Bacillus subtilis and related genes in other bacteria. The ydaO/yuaA element is thought to act as a genetic "off" switch for the ydaO and yuaA genes in its native state.
Source: RNAcentral